This 440-nucleotide ribosomal RNA is filed under the name uncultured Sphingopyxis sp. RNAcentral describes it as "bacterial SSU rRNA". It matches the Rfam family "Bacterial small subunit ribosomal RNA", at positions 338 to 795 of the family's 1533-position model. The record is from RNAcentral. Lineage: Bacteria; Pseudomonadati; Pseudomonadota; Alphaproteobacteria; Sphingomonadales; Sphingopyxidaceae.
CCUACGGGGGGCUGCAGUGGGGAAUAUUGGACAAUGGGCGAAAGCCUGAUCCAGCAAUGCCGCGUGAGUGAUGAAGGCCUUAGGGUUGUAAAGCUCUUUUACCCGGGAUGAUAAUGACAGUACCGGGAGAAUAAGCUCCGGCUAACUCCGUGCCAGCAGCCGCGGUAAUACGGAGGGAGCUAGCGUUGUUCGGAAUUACUGGGCGUAAAGCGCGCGUAGGCGGUUUUUUAAGUCAGAGGUGAAAGCCCAGUGCUCAACACUGGAACUGCCUUUGAAACUGGAAAACUUGAAUCUUGGAGAGGUCAGUGGAAUUCCGAGUGUAGAGGUGAAAUUCGUAGAUAUUCGGAAGAACACCAGUGGCGAAGGCGACUGACUGGACAAGUAUUGACGCUGAGGUGCGAAAGCGUGGGGAGCAAACAGGAUUAGAUACCCCGGUAGUC